AUACGGAGGGUCCGAGCGUUAAUCGGAAUUACUGGGCGUAAAGCGCGCGUAGGUGGUUUGUUAAGUUGGAUGUGAAAGCCCAGGGCUCAACCUUGGAACUGCAUCCAAAACUGGCAGACUAGAGUACAGCAGAGGAUAGUGGAAUUUCAGGUGUAGCGGUGAAAUGCGUAGAUAUCUGAAGGAACAUCAGUGGCGAAGGCGACUGUCUGGGCUGAUACUGACACUGAGGUGCGAAAGCGUGGGGAGCAAACGGGAUUAGAAACCCCUGUAGUCC
This 274-nucleotide ribosomal RNA is filed under the name uncultured bacterium. RNAcentral describes it as "partial 16S ribosomal RNA". It matches the Rfam family "Bacterial small subunit ribosomal RNA", at positions 523 to 796 of the family's 1533-position model. The record is from RNAcentral.